AGGUGUGGACGACGUCAAGUCAUCAUGGCCCUUAUGCCCAGGGCGACACACGUGCUACAAUGGCAUAUACAAUGAGACGCAAUACCGCGAGGUGGAGCAAAUCUAUAAAAUAUGUCCCAGUUCGGAUUGUUCUCUGCAACUCGAGAGCAUGAAGCCGGAAUCGCUAGUAAUCGUAGAUCAGCCAUGCUACGGUGAAUACGUUCCCGGGUCUUGUACUCACCGCCCGUCACACCAUGGGAGUUGAUUUCACUCGAAGCCGGAAUACUAAACUAGUUACCGUCCACAGUGGAAUCAGCGACUGGGGUGAAGUCGUAACAAGGUAACCGUAGGAGAACCUGCGGUUGGAUCACCUCCUUU
This 357-nucleotide ribosomal RNA is filed under the name Campylobacter coli. Its description in RNAcentral is "bacterial SSU rRNA". It matches the Rfam family "Bacterial small subunit ribosomal RNA", at positions 1171 to 1533 of the family's 1533-position model. Lineage: Bacteria; Pseudomonadati; Campylobacterota; Epsilonproteobacteria; Campylobacterales; Campylobacteraceae. The record is from RNAcentral.